AUUGAACGCUGGCGGCAUGGCUAAAACAUGCAAGUCGAGCGCGAAAGAGGAGCAAUCCUCAAGUAGAGCGGCGAAAGGGUGAGUAAUACGUUCCUACGUACCUCGAGGUCAGGGAUAGCCAGGGGAAACUCUGGGUAAUACCUGAUGUGGUCGAGAGAUCAAAGGCUUGCCGCCUUGAGAGCGGGGAACGUCCUAUCAGCUAGUUGGUGAGGUAACGGCUCACCAAGGCUUUGACGGGUAGCGGGUGUGAGAGCAAGGCCCGCCACAUCGGAACUGAGACACUGUCCGGACUCCUACGGGAGGCUGCAGUAACGAAUCUUCCGCAAUGCGCGCAAGCGUGACGGAGCAAUGCCGCGUGCAGGAUGAAGCCCUUCGGGGUGUAAACUGCUGUCAGGGUUUAGAAACACAAUGAUCAAACCCAAAGGAAGAGACGACUAACUCUGUGCCAGCAGUCGCGGUAAUACAGAGGUCUCGAGCGUUAGUCGG
RNAcentral lists this ribosomal RNA (486 nucleotides) under uncultured bacterium. RNAcentral describes it as "bacterial SSU rRNA". It matches the Rfam family "Bacterial small subunit ribosomal RNA", at positions 28 to 548 of the family's 1533-position model. The record is from RNAcentral.